AUUUACAACCUCUAAUAUUAAAUAAAAAUUUCCACAAGGAAAGGUAUUCUACUUUUUUUUAAAGAAAAAAUAAUUUUAAAAGAUAAAAAAUGAAAGUUUAAAAGUAGAUAGCCGACAAUCUUUAAAAAAAAAAAAAAAAAAAAAAAGAAAAAAAAAGGAUAAUCCACUCACUUCUAAAACAAAAUAAUAACAAUAAAUUAGUACUUUUGUUAAAUUAUCAGUGACAUGAAUUUCAGAGAAUCAAAGAUCAAUGCACUCUUUUGUCACUCAAAAAGAAUAGAUAAUUACUCAAUGAUGGUAUAAUAUUAAAUUAGAAUGGCUAUUUUCAAAGACAAGAAAACUAGAGUCUUUUGAAACAUAUGUCUAAAGUAAAUCUGCAUUUAUAAAGCUUAUCCAUAAGAUAUUAUUAAAUCUAUCUUUAUUUAGCUUCUAUUCAUUACUUCUUAUACAGAUAAUUACAUAUAUCUAUGACAAUAAUAUAACAAUUUAUAUUUGACUAUUUUAGUAUAUCCAUCAAAUACU
RNAcentral lists this long non-coding RNA (522 nucleotides) under Physcomitrium patens. Its description in RNAcentral is "long non-coding RNA (PPAT_LNC013737)". Lineage: Eukaryota; Viridiplantae; Streptophyta; Bryopsida; Funariales; Funariaceae. The record is from RNAcentral.